RNAcentral lists this ribosomal RNA (422 nucleotides) under uncultured bacterium. RNAcentral's name for it is "bacterial SSU rRNA". It matches the Rfam family "Bacterial small subunit ribosomal RNA", at positions 355 to 774 of the family's 1533-position model. The record is from RNAcentral.
CGAGGAAUAUUGGGCAAUGCCCGCAAGGGUGACCCAGCAACGCCGCGUGGAGGAUGAAUGUCGUAAGAUUGUAAACUCCUGUUAGAGGGGAAGAAUAGUACCGGUUGGACCGGUAUAUGACUGUACCCUCAGAGAAAGCCCCGGCUAACUACGUGCCAGCAGCCGCGGUAAUACGUAGGGGGCAAGCGUUGUCCGGAUUUACUGGGUGUAAAGGGCGCGCAGGCGGGAUAAAAAGUCAGUGGUGAAAUCCUACAGCUUAACUGUAGAACUGCCUUUGAUACUUUUAUUCUUGAGUUCGGGAGAGAGAGACGGAAUUCCAGGUGUAGUGGUGAAAUACGUAGAUAUCUGGAAGAACGCCAGUUGCGAAGGCGGUCUCUUGGUCCGACACUGACGCUGAGGCGCGAAAGCGUGGGGAGCAAACA